AGGAUAAGUCUAGGCCUCUAGACAAGCUUCCUUGGAUAUCAGUGGUUAGUGGCUUUCCAGAUGUGUUUCCUGGGGAUUUACCAGGACUACCACCUGAUAGAGAGAUCAAAUUUUGCAUUGAUUUGAUUCCCGGGACUCAACCAGUUUCUACUACCCCUUAUCGCAUGGCACCUGCAGAGUUGGAUGAAUUGAAAAAGCAAUUGGGGUGAGCUAAUGGAUAAGGUACAUCAGGAACAGUACUUCCCCAUGGGGAGCUCCAGUUUUGUUUGCCAAGAAAUCUGAUGGAUCCUUGUGAUUGUGCGUCGAUUAUAAGAAAUUAAUUCAGAUGACAAUUAAGAACAAGUAUCCAUUGCCAAUGAUAUAUGAGUUGUUUGAUCAGCUCAUAUGUUCAAAGUUUUUUUUUUCCAAGAUUGACUUAAGCUCAGGCUAUCAUCAAUUGAGGAUUUAGGAAGAGGAUAUUCCUAAAACUAAUUUCAGAACACGUUAUGGACACUUUGAGUUUUUGGUGAUGCCAUUCGGGUUAACGAAUGUACCUGCAAUAUUUAUGGACCUUAUGAAUAGAAUCUUUAGACUCUAUUUGGAUAAGUUUGUGGUUGUUUUUAUUGAUGGAUUUUUGGUGUAUUCCAAGACACCUGAGGACCAUACAGAAUUUUAAACAGUUGUGUUGCAAACUCUGAGGGACCAUCAAUUAUAUGCUAAGAAAGAAAAAAUGUGACUUCUGGAGGACUGAGGUCAAAUUCUUAGGGCAUGUAAAAUAUCAAGAGGACAUUACUGUGAAUUCAUGCGAAGAUAGAUUCUAUCCUACAGUGGAAAAAAAAAUCAAAGAACGUUACAAAGAUUCGAAGUUUUCUUGGGUUAGUAGGUUACUAUCGUCGCUUUGUGGAGAAUUUUUUUCUCGAAUUGCUAUGCCUUUGAAAAAGCUAACAAGAAAGGAUUUAAAGUUCGUGUGGGAUGACAGUUGUGAAGAAGCUUUCAGAUAACUUAAGCCAAGAUUGACUACGGCGACUAUUCUCACUGUGCCUAAUAAGUGAUGAACCGCUUAUGGUAUUUACUGAUGCUUCUGGUACUGGUUUAGGUGGAGUUCUCAUGCCAAAUCGCAAGGUUGUUGCCUAUGUUUCACGCCAAUUGAAGAUACAUGAGAAGAACUACCCCACACAUGACUUGGAACUUGCAACAGUGAUUUUUUUUUGCCUUGAAAAUGUGGAGAUGUUACUUAUAUGGGGAAAAGUUUGAAUUAGAAUUUGAUCAUAAGAGUUUAAAGUAUCUCUUUACUCAAAGAGACUUGAAUUUGAGGCAAAGAAGAAGGGUCGAGUACAGGGCAAAUUAUGAUUUCACUUUGAAAUACCCUCAUGGAAAAGCAAAUGCGGUUGCUACACAGUGCUACUUAAACAAGUUAAGCAAUGUCAGUGGCAAGAUAAGAAAUUGAGACUUAUCUAGAAUCGAAUCCAAAAUAGUGAGCAGUUAGAUGGAUGGACAGUAAAUGCUGAAGGAUUCUUAUACCAUAAGGGAAGAUUAGUCAUUGCAAAUAUCCCUGAUCUUAGAGAGUCUGUUAUGAUUGAGGCUCAUAGGUCUAAGUUUGUUGUACAUUCUGGAAGCACAAAGAUGUACCAAGAUUUGAAAAGACAAUAUUGAUGGGAAGGUAUGAAGAGAGACGCGACUAACUUUGUAGCUAAGUGUAUGGUUUGCCAACAGGUUAAAGCUGAGCACCAGAGACCUUCAGGGUUGCUUCAACCUUUACCUAAACCAGAAUGGAAGUGGGAUGAGAUCACAAUGGACUUUGUGAUGGGAUUACCAUUAACACCAUUAAAACAUGACAUUGUCCGGUUGAUUUUCGAUCGUUUGACCAAAUCUGCUCAUUUCAUUCAAAUUAGGAAGAAUUGUAAGGUUUGUGAACUAGCUCGACUUCAUGUGGGUAAUAUACUUCGACUGCAUGGGUUGCCUUCCAGCAUUGUUUCUGAGAGAGAUCCUCGAUUUACAUCAAAGUUUUGGCGAGCAUUGCAAGAAGCAUUAGGAACUGAACUUAACUUGAGCACCGCUCACCACCCUUAGACAGAUGGACAGUCUGAGAGGACUAUCCAAACUUUGGAGGACAUGCUUCGUUCUUGUAUUUUGGAUUUUGGGGAUAGCUGGGGAGAACACUUGUCAUUGGUGGAAUCCACUUAUAAUAACAGCUACCAGGCCAGUAUAGGCAUGGCUCCUUAUGAUGCCUUGUAUGGGAGGCCAUGCAGAUCACAUUUGUGUUAGGCAGAACUAGAUUAGCAUGUCACAAUUGGAUCUCAAAUUGCUAGUACUACUGGGAAGACCAGAGAAAUUUUUUUUCUCCAAGAAAGGCUUAAGAUUGUUCAAAGUCGUCAGAAGAGUUAUGCCAAUCUCCUUCGAUGAGAAGUUCAGUUUGAGGUUGGUGACUAUGUCUUCUUGAAAGUUACUCCCAUGCUUGGUGUGGCGAGAUUUGGAGUGAAGGGUAAGCUAGCCCCGAGGUAUAUUGGACCUUUCGAGGUUAUCGAGAGGGAUGGGGAGGUCGCUUAUCGAUUGAACUUACCAGCGCGGUUGGGGCAUGUUCACAAUGUGUUCCAUGUGUCGAUGCUGAGGAAGUAUACUCCAGACCCAUCGCACAUCAUUGAGUAUGAGGCUAUCCCUCUUCAAGAGGACGUGACAUGUGAAGAACAACUUAUCAGAAUCUUAGCGAGAAAGUUAAAGGUGCUAAGGAAUAAAGAGAUUCAUGUAGUCAAGGUCUUAUGGAGAAACCAUAGAGAAGACGGGGCUACUUGGGAGUUAGAUUUGGAGUUGUACAAGGAGUAUCCUCAUUUGUUUAAUUUUCAGCUUGGGGUUGUACUUUGAAAAUUUCGGGACGAAAUUUCUUUAAGGAGAGAAGAAUGUGAAACCUGAGACUUUUCUCAGGUUGGAAAAGUAAAAAAUGGGAGGAAAAUAAAGAAAAAAAAAUUAAUUUAAUUAUAUAUUCAGUUUUUUUUUCUUUUCUUUUUCACUCUCUCCCCGACACUCUCCUCCUCUUCUUCUUCUUCUUCUUCUCUCGGCAUCCCAUGGCAAGGCACCAGACCCAACCACCAUCGGCCACCAUUUUUUACGCGCGGCUGCUCAUCGGUUUUGCCUUGCUUCGGCGACCUCAACUGCCAAGCAGCACCGCCCAACUCACCGUCAAUCGUUCGGAAUCGCCAAUCAAAGUUUUGGUCCAUCAACUUUGACUGUGUUUUUCUGCCAACUCUGACCACCUCUUGACGAGUGGUUGAUACCCUUGGAACCAGCGUGGAGAGAGGAACAAAACCCACUAAUUCAUUCCAGUCAACUCGUCGUUUUUCUCCGGCAAGAUUUUGGGUAUCUCCGCCCUUUGGAAGCAUUUUCCGGCAACACUGGAGGUCAUUUGGGCGAAGGAGCUGUACUUUCGUGAUGUACUCAUCGAGAGGAUCGUUUUGAUAUAUGCUAUGCAUAUAUUCGUCGACGUUUCCGGUACUGCCACCAACCGCUAUAGUGCACCGCUUGGGAAAAGCGUGAUAUUAAAAUCGGACUAAAUCAUUCUAAGACCAUCGAUAAGCUUAGGAGCGUUGCUUUGGGCUUGGAUUAAAUUCUAAGGAGGUAUCUAAAGAGGAGCCUAGUCACGCGAAUGUGGAAAAGUAUGAAUUAUUGCUGAAGCCAAUGUGUUUAGUGCCAUAGUCCUAUCUUUUGAACAUUGUAUGUAUUUAAUUUGGAACAUAUCGGUCUGUACAUCUAAAUUAGCUAUGUCCUAGUUAGAAAUGAGGAAUGGUGGAUGCUAAGUAUUAUUUUGGAUAUUUUAUGACUUAUUAAAUUGAACUGUUUGGUGACUACAUAACUGUUGGGAUAUUAUUAUUCUAUGUAUUAAGAUAAAUGAUCCUACUUUUAUCAGUAAUAUUUUCAUAUAUAAUUAUAGGAGUUAUUUCAUUGUUUCGACUUAUAAUUAUAGUAAUAUUUAAUAUAAAUUAAAGGAUCAUUUAUAAAUACUAUUUUCCACCGAGGGUCAAAGUUUGACCUUUGACCACCCAAGUUAUGGAUAUUACAAAUCUGCCACGGCCUAGGGCUCGGGCGUGACAGUCUUGAUCACAGAAAACAUAAGAGUUUUCCUACAGUGUUGUAACAAUUAAGAGUGCCCCAAAUAUAUAUAGAAAUAAAAGUAAUCUAGUGUCUCCCUUUUAAAAAUAAAAGUAAAGUCUUAAAACUCAUAUCAAAAUCACCAUGGAAAGAUGGAGAACUGGGCCCGUUUGGUUGAUGGUAAUGGGCCAGAAAGGAAUGGAAUGGAAUGUUAAUGGGCUGGAUUCUUUUGUUUGGUUGGAAAUAACAAGUUUGGAAAAGAAUUCCAUAGUAAUCCUUAUUCCUCCAAACUAACGGAAUAUCUUUUCCAAUUUUGAGUUAGUGGAAUUAUAAUUCUAUUCCAGCCCAUUAACAUCAUCUCUCUCCAGGGUCUUCGUCUUCUUCCCCAAAUCGCUCCACCUACUGAGGACUUGUUCCCCAACUCGCUCCACCGAUGAGUUCCUCAGCAAGCAACACACCCAGUCGAAGGUAGUUGCUCGUCCCAGUCGGAGGUCCGUGUUAGAGACACUCUUCUCUUCUUCCUCUGCUUUUCUAAUCUGUUGCAGAGCAUGGGGACUUCAAAAGGAAGAGGUCCAGGACAAAAUAAAAGAUUUUGGAGCGAAGAUGAAGACAAACACUUGGUUGAAGCACUUAUGGAACUGAAUAAUGAAGGGAAGUUUAAAGCUGAAGGAAAUUUCAGGCCAGGUCAUCUUAGAGCUCUUGAGAUGAAAUUAAAGGAGCGGAUGCCUGAAUGUGAUAUACAAGCUAAGCCACACAUUGAGUCUAGAAUGAAGACUUUGAAGACUCAUUUUCAAGUGGUUCAUGAAAUGUUGACUGGACGAUUUUGUAGCGGAUUUGGGUGGGACAACGACAGAAAAACUGUUACUGCAGAAAAGUCAGUGUGGGAAGCAUAUUUGCAGGUACUCAAAUAAUAGUAUUUGGUUUGUCAUUUUGCUUAUGAUGUUAAUGGAUCCAUAAGAAUGAUUGUUUGCUUAUGAUGUUGAUGGAUCCAUAACAAGGAUGGUUUGCUUAUUUAUUUGAAUCUGAUUUUUUUAUUUUGUAUAA
Long non-coding RNA from Humulus lupulus (European hop), 5103 nucleotides. RefSeq lists it as uncharacterized. The record is from RefSeq and is a predicted model, not a curated record. The transcript is spliced from 5 exons. NCBI's taxonomy places the organism in Eukaryota, Viridiplantae, Streptophyta, Magnoliopsida, Rosales, Cannabaceae.